CGAGCGAGAGAGAGCUUGCUUUCUCGAGCGAGUGGCGAACGGGUGAGUAACGCGUGAGGAACCUGCCUCAAAGAGGGGGACAACAGUUGGAAACGACUGCUAAUACCGCAUAAGCCCACGGCUCGGCAUCGAGCAGAGGGAAAGGGAGCAAUCCGCUUUGAGAUGGCCUCGCGUCCGAUUAGCUAGUUGGUGAGGUAACGGCCCACCAAGGCGACGAUCGGUAGCCGGACUGAGAGGUUGAACGGCCACAUUGGGACUGAGACACGGCUCAGACUCCUACGGGAGGCAGCAGUGGGGAAUAUUGCACAAUGGGGGAAACCCUGAUGCAGCGACGCCGCGUGGAGGAAGAAGGUCUUCGGAUUGUAAACUCCUGUUGUUGGGGAAGAUAAUGACGGUACCCAACAAGGAAGUGACGGCUAACUACGUGCCAGCAGCCGCGGUAAAACGUAGGUCACAAGCGUUGUCCGGAAUUACUGGGUGUAAAGGGAGCGCAGGCGGGAAGACAAGUUGGAAGUGAAAUCUAUGGGCUCAACCCAUAAACUGCUUUCAAAACUGUUUUUCUUGAGUAGUGCAGAGGUAGGCGGAAUUCCCGGUGUAGCGGUGGAAUGCGUAGAUAUCGGGAGGAACACCAGUGGCGAAGGCGGCCU
Molecule: ribosomal RNA, 647 nt
Filed under: uncultured Lachnospiraceae bacterium
Lineage: Bacteria; Bacillati; Bacillota; Clostridia; Lachnospirales; Lachnospiraceae
Description: bacterial SSU rRNA
Rfam family: Bacterial small subunit ribosomal RNA
Source: RNAcentral